UACGGAGGGGGCUAGCGUUGUUCGGAAUUACUGGGCGUAAAGCGCGCGUAGGCGGACCUGCAAGUCGGGGGUGAAAGCCCGAGGCUCAACCUCGGAACUGCCUUCGAUACUGCGGGUCCCGAGUCCGGGAGAGGUGAGUGGAAUUCCUAGUGUAGAGGUGAAAUUCGUAGAGAUUAGGAAGAACACCAGUGGCGGAGGCGGCUCACUGGCCCGGUACUGACGCUGAGGUGCGAAAGCGUGGGGAGCAAACAGG
Molecule: ribosomal RNA, 253 nt
Filed under: uncultured bacterium
Lineage: Bacteria
Description: partial 16S ribosomal RNA
Rfam family: Bacterial small subunit ribosomal RNA
Source: RNAcentral